Molecule: ribosomal RNA, 460 nt
Filed under: uncultured bacterium
Lineage: Bacteria
Description: partial 16S ribosomal RNA
Rfam family: Bacterial small subunit ribosomal RNA
Source: RNAcentral
CCUACGGGUGGCAGCAGUGAGGAAUAUUGGUCAAUGGCCGCUAGCCUGAACCAGCCAUGUCGCGUGCAGGAUGACGGCCCUAUGAGUUGUAAACUGCUUUUGUAUGAGGGUAAACUCCAGUAUGUGUACUUCUUUGCAUGUACCUUAUGAAUAAGGAUCGGCUAACUCCGUGCCAGCAGCCGCGGUAAUACGGAGGAUUCAAGCGUUAUCCGGAUUUAUUGGGUUUAAAGGGUGCGUAGGCGGUCUGUUAAGUUAGUUGUGAAAGCCCGAGGCUCAACCGCGGAAUUGCCUCUGAUACUGGUAGGCUAGAGAGUAGUAGAGGUAGGCGGAAUUCGUGGUGUAGGGGUAAAAUGCGUAGAGAUCAAGAAGAAUUCUCAUUGCGAAGGCGACCUGCUAGAACGUAACUGACGCUGAUGCGCGAAAGCGUGGGUAGCAAACAGGAUUAGAUACCCGGGUAGUC